CAGCCGCCGCGGGAAUACGGAGGGUGCAAGCGUUAUCCGGAUUUAUUGGGUUUAAAGGGUCCGUAGGCGGAUCUGUAAGUCAGUGGUGAAAUCUCACAGCUUAACUGUGAAACUGCCAUUGAUACUGCAGGUCUUGAGUAAAUUUGAAGUGGCUGGAAUAAGUAGUGUAGCGGUGAAAUGCAUAGAUAUUACUUAGAACACCAAUUGCGAAGGCAGGUCACUAAGAUUUAACUGACGCUGAUGGACGAAAGCGUGGGGAGCGAACAGGAUUAGAUACCCGGGUAGUCCCUGUCUCUUAUAC
This 301-nucleotide ribosomal RNA is filed under the name uncultured bacterium. RNAcentral's name for it is "partial 16S ribosomal RNA". It matches the Rfam family "Bacterial small subunit ribosomal RNA", at positions 509 to 807 of the family's 1533-position model. The record is from RNAcentral.